This 253-nucleotide ribosomal RNA is filed under the name uncultured bacterium. RNAcentral's name for it is "partial 16S ribosomal RNA". It matches the Rfam family "Bacterial small subunit ribosomal RNA", at positions 524 to 776 of the family's 1533-position model. The record is from RNAcentral.
UACGUAGGGGGCAAGCGUUGUCCGGAAUUAUUGGGCGUAAAGCGCGCGCAGGCGGUGAUUUAAGUCUGAUGUGAAAGCCCACGGCUCAACCGUGGAGGGUCAUUGGAAACUGGGUCACUUGAGUGCAGGAGAGGGGAGUGGAAUUCCACGUGUAGCGGUGAAAUGCGUAGAUAUGUGGAGGAACACCAGUGGCGAAGGCGACUCUCUGGCCUGUAACUGACGCUGAGGCGCGAAAGCUAGGGGAGCGAACGGG